Molecule: long non-coding RNA, 209 nt
Filed under: Elaeis guineensis (African oil palm)
Lineage: Eukaryota; Viridiplantae; Streptophyta; Magnoliopsida; Arecales; Arecaceae
Description: long non-coding RNA (EGUI_LNC041989)
Source: RNAcentral
AAUGAUAUUGAUAAUGAAGAUCACAACAUAUCUCACUACUAGAUAGAAUUGAACCUAUGAGGUUACACAAUAAAAAAAUUUGAUCUUGGAUUAUUUAAUUGGGCUCAUAGAGACUCCAUUAGAUUAGGAUUUGAUAAAAUCUUAUUAAAUUUAGGAAAACUAUGCUAGCACAUAAUUAAACCCAAAUCCUAUUGGGCUUGGACUCCCCA